Molecule: long non-coding RNA, 2028 nt
Filed under: Brassica napus (rape)
Lineage: Eukaryota; Viridiplantae; Streptophyta; Magnoliopsida; Brassicales; Brassicaceae
Description: long non-coding RNA (BNAP_LNC015435)
Source: RNAcentral
AAAAAAUCCCGAAGGUUUAUAGGUUUGGUGUCAAAAGCUUUUUUUUUUUUUUUUUUUUACUAUGUCUCAUUUUAGCCUCACAAUAGAAAAAAAAAAUUCUUUCCAGAUCUUUCUCUCCUUGGAUGUUGCUUCUUCAGCACCACAUUGUUUCUCCACAGCCGUCCUCGGCCUCCUCCACCUCCUGUUCCCUCUAACCCAGCUCACCCAAACCCUAACUCCAUCUCUGCCCGCAUCCACGACGAUUUGGAUCCUCCGCUCUUGUGUCACCAUUCAUUCCACCAGUUCUCCCUUUUGGCGAAUUCAUAUCCCUUAGUCUGAUUGAGUGAUUCUUCCAUAUCCUAGGGUCCUUCACGACUCCUCUAAAGAAAUCUGGGAAGCCGUGAAGUCAAGAAAUCUUGGUGAUGAACGCGUAAAGGAAGCUCGCCUCAAACCUUGAUGAAUGAGUUUGAACGUCUAAGGAUGAAAGACACAGAAUCAAUAGAUAUCUUUUCGGGCAAGAUAUUAGAAUUGGCCUCAAAUCCGCAGCGUUAGGUCAAGCGAUGGCAGAACCUAAGCUGGUAAAGAAGUUCCUGAACAGUUUACCGCAAAGCUAGUAUAUUCAGAUCAUAGCCUCACUUGAACAAGUUCUCGAUCUGAAUAAAACGAGUUUCGAAGACAUUGUUGGGAGACUCAAGGCAUAUGAAGAACGGAUUUAGGAAGAAGAUACGCAAGAGCCACAAGGGAACCUUCUGUACACGGACUCCAAUCAAUCAUACAACUCAAGAGGAAGAUGUAGAGGUUGGAAUCGUGGUCGAGGAAACAGAGGAAGAGGGUAAGCCACUGAACAAGGAUGUGAUGUUAGGAUGAGGGAUAACUACCUAACACUGGAAGACCCUAAUGGAAGACUACUGGCGAAAGUAUUAAGGUCGCCUAACCGGCUGUACAAGUUGCGACUUCAAGUUGGUAGACCAGCCUGUUUGCACACGAGAAUCGAAGAAGAUACUUGGAGAUGGCAUGCUAGGCUCGGACACAUUAGUUUCAAAACUAUAAGGUCGAUGGCGAUACAACAGGUGGUACACGGGUUGCCGAAGAUUCAAGAUGAGAAGGAGUGUUGGAAUUGGAAGGGAGCGAACAAGGAAGAACAUAGCGAGCAUGGUAUGUUUAGGAUGUCAUGGGGUGCUACAAUGGAUGAUGAACAUGGUCCAUUCGUAGUUGGAACUCAACAGGAAGAACUUGCUGCUGAAGAGACUGACACGCAGCAACAAGAACAUGUUUAAGUCAAUCCAGGCGUUGAACAAAUCAAACCACAACCUAGGCGCUCAACACGUCAAUCAACUCGUCCUAGCUAUCUUGAAGACUACGUAUUACUGGCCGACAUUGAGUGUGAGUUUCUACUUCUUGCACUCAAUGACGAACCAAUUAACUUUCAAGAAGCCAUUCAAUGGCACUACAAAAAAUGAGGUAUUAAUAGCAUAUUACAAUAGCAUUGAUUUACAAACUGGUAUUAAAAAUGAUAUUCUGGAAUAUGAUACUUUAUAAUAGCAUUUUAUUAGUGCUAAAUCGUAUUUUCACUAAGCGGGAAGAGAAAGUGAGUUUUCGAGCCUAGUUUUCUUUAUUAGCGCCAAUACUUAGCCAAAUUUUGAUUCUGGCAAAAAAAAAUCCCGAAGGUUUAUAGGUUUGGUGUCAAAAGCUUUUUUUUUUUUUUUUUUUUACUAUGUCUCAUUUUAGCCUCACAAUAGAAAAAAAAAAUUCUUUCCAGAUCUUUCUCUCCUUGGAUGUUGCUUCUUCAGCACCACAUUGUUUCUCCACAGCCGUCCUCGGCCUCCUCCACCUCCUGUUCCCUCUAACCCAGCUCACCCAAACCCUAACUCCAUCUCUGCCCGCAUCCACGACGAUUUGGAUCCUCCGCUCUUAUUCUUUUUAAUUCCACUGGAGUUUUAUCAUCUCUGCCUAUUCGACUUUAAGUGUAGAAAGAAAGAGCAUUACUCAAGCUUAUUCUUUGCAAUCCUCCUCAACUGCUAAGGUCUGAUUCCUUAUGUUAAUUUUGCC